This 279-nucleotide ribosomal RNA is filed under the name uncultured bacterium. RNAcentral describes it as "partial 16S ribosomal RNA". It matches the Rfam family "Bacterial small subunit ribosomal RNA", at positions 506 to 784 of the family's 1533-position model. The record is from RNAcentral.
UGCCAGCAGCCGCGGUAAUACGGAGGGUGCAAGCGUUGUCCGGAUUUAUUGGGUUUAAAGGGUGCGUAGGCGGGUUAUUAAGUCAGUGGUGAAAUACUGCAGCUCAACUGUAGAGGUGCCAUUGAAACUGAUAAUCUUGAGUUCAGUAGAGGUAGGCGGAAUUGAUGGUGUAGCGGUGAAAUGCAUAGAUACCAUCAGGAACAUCAAUAGCGAAGGCAGCUUACUGGGCAUGGACUGACGCUGAGGCACGAAAGCGUGGGGAGCGAACAGGAUUAGAUA